RNAcentral lists this unclassified non-coding RNA (344 nucleotides) under soil metagenome. RNAcentral describes it as "partial contains 5.8S ribosomal RNA, internal transcribed spacer 2, and large subunit ribosomal RNA". The stretch from base 1 to 119 matches the Rfam family "5.8S ribosomal RNA", at positions 35 to 154 of the family's 154-position model. The record is from RNAcentral.
GAUGAAGAACGCAGCGAAAUGCGAUACGUAAUGUGAAUUGCAAAUUCAGUGAAUCAUCGAGUCUUUGAACGCACAUUGCGCCCCCUGGUAUUCCGGGUGGCAUGCCUGUCCGAGCGUCAUUGCUGCCCUCAAGCACGGCUUGUGUGUUGGGCCCCGUCCUCCGAUCCCGGGGGACGGGCCCGAAAGGCAGCGGCGGCACCGCGUCCGGUCCUCGAGCGUAUGGGGCUUUGUCACCCGCUCUGUAGGCCCGGCCGGCGCUUGCCGAUCAACCCAAAUUUUUAUCCAGGUUGACCUCGGAUCAGGUAGGGAUACCCGCUGAACUUAAGCAUAUCAAAAGCGGAGGA